GUGACUGCGUACCUUUUGUAUAAUGGGUCAGCGACUUAUAUUCUGUAGCAAGGUUAACCGAAUAGGGGAGCCGGAGGGAAACCGAGUCUUAAUUGGGCGUUAAGUUGCAGGGUAUAGACCCGAAACCCGGUGAUCUAGCCAUGGGCAGGUUGAAGGUUGGGUAACACUAACUGGAGGACCGAACCGACUAAUGUUGAAAAAUUAGCGGAUGACCUGUGGCUGGGGGUGAAAGGCCAAUCAAACCGGGAGAUAGCUGGUUCUCCCCGAAAGCUAUUUAGGUAGCGCCUCGUGAAUUCAUCUCCGGGGGUAGAGCACUGUUUCGGCUAGGGGGCCAUCCCGGCUUACCAACCCGAUGCAAACUGCGAAUACCGGAGAAUGUUAUCACGGGAGACACACGGCGGGUGCUAACGUCCGUCGUGAAGAGGGAAACAACCCAGA
RNAcentral lists this ribosomal RNA (438 nucleotides) under Salmonella enterica subsp. enterica serovar Litchfield. Its description in RNAcentral is "bacterial LSU rRNA". It matches the Rfam family "Bacterial large subunit ribosomal RNA", at positions 593 to 1031 of the family's 2925-position model. The record is from RNAcentral. Lineage: Bacteria; Pseudomonadati; Pseudomonadota; Gammaproteobacteria; Enterobacterales; Enterobacteriaceae.